UCUGAGAUAGAGAUGGAGAGAGAAGGAGACCGCGAGAACGACGGUCUCGCCUCCAUCCUAUCCUCCUCUCGCUGCCGUCUCCCUUCUCUCGCCUCCGUCGUCUUACUCCUCCUUUCUCUGUCUCUAGAAUCGUUCGAUCUAUUCGAAGAGGAUCGAGAGUUCUGAAAUAGUGUUUCGAUAGGUAGGGGGUUAUGCGUGUGCGGUCGUGCUUGAUGAUCGUGCAAGCCAGCGAUUCUGUUUCUACGACAUAGCCUCGACUCUGCUUCCAUCUCCAUUUUCUCUCCUCGCCUUUUCUCUCAAAAAUCACCCACGAGCUCAAAAACCACCAAGCCCUUAGAAAUCUCUUCGAUUCUCUCUCUCAGAAACUAUGAAGCACAACGAUCUCUAGCUGAAAAACCGUGAAUCUGGUCCCAAUUCGAAGGAAAUUUUAAGCCCAGAAAAGCCUUGGUUUCCGGAAUAUUCGUAAUUUAUUUUGGGGGUUUACACUAAAAUUGAGGAAGCACAUAUGAACGCAAAGGCUCGAGGAUGUACGACAACUUGGAUAUGAUAGGAUUGUUCUCUUUGGAAGCUUCUUUCCAGUCUUGAGCUUCUUCUUGCCUGGUGCCUUCUCAUUGAGUAUUGGAGCAUUAAAACACAGGGAGUGCUGAUGUUUUCUGGGAUUUUUUGGUCCUUGCAGGAUUUUGGGUCUUUAAAAUGGGUCUCCACCCCACAUUUCACAAGUUCAAAUUCCAUUGAAGUCGAUUCUGCAGAUUGUGUCUGCAAUUAGAUCAAAGAUCAACCGCUCUUUUGUAUUCUGCGGAAGAUUGCUUUUGGGAAUGAUCUGAAGCAGUUCCUCUAUAUAUAUUUAAUCUCUGGAUAGGAGAAACAAAGAGGAUGACACUUAUAACUGCCCCUCCCCAUUGGCCAUCUUCAAAUUUGGAUCACAAGAAGGGAGCAACAUAGAGUUGGCUUCAUUUCAUUCCAGUGAUUCUCUAAAUAGGUCCAACAGCUCACUAAAUAGGUAAUAAACGUGGUCCAACCAGUAGCUGAUAAAAUGUCAUUGUAUAUAUGCUUUUGUCGAUUUCUGCUACGAUAAUGAGGGAAUCCAAAGGAUCGAGGCCAAUCAAUCUGAGGUUGUUGAAUUUUGAAUUCGAAAUUCCCUUUGGAAACUGUCACAAGUGAUGUGUCUGUUGUGGCUACAAGAAUCAAAAGCGAGUGAAAGGCGCUUCUCAAGACGACGUUGGAACGUGCAGGUGAUGAGGAUUCAGGGGAUGAGGAGGAAAUGGCAAAGGAGGAGGACCAAAACGCGUUCUCUGUUAGGAUAAUUGGUGCCCUGAAUACCAGAAAGUCUGCGCUCACCACUCAUUAAUUAUAUGGUUUGUUCCGUUGGUUUUUAUGGUUUAAAGGUGUUUAAUUUGAUGGUGUUUUUGAUAAAUUGUUGAAAAUAUUGUUAGUUUAGUUA
Long non-coding RNA from Pyrus x bretschneideri (Chinese white pear), 1441 nucleotides. RefSeq lists it as uncharacterized. The record is from RefSeq and is a predicted model, not a curated record. The transcript is spliced from 10 exons. NCBI's taxonomy places the organism in Eukaryota, Viridiplantae, Streptophyta, Magnoliopsida, Rosales, Rosaceae.